AAUAGAUGACGCCGUUGAUUUUUUCUUACAUGUUUGACCAUUCGUCUUAUUCAAAAUAUUUACGUAAUUAUAAUUUAUUUUGUUAUGAGUUGUUUUAUUACUCAUAGUAAUAAGUGUUUACAUUUGCAUAAAAUUUUUGAAUAAGACGAAUGGUCAAACAUGUGAGAAAAAGUCAACGGCGUCAUCUAUU
Molecule: microRNA precursor, 190 nt
Filed under: Oryza rufipogon (brownbeard rice)
Lineage: Eukaryota; Viridiplantae; Streptophyta; Magnoliopsida; Poales; Poaceae
Description: MIR812 microRNA precursor family
Rfam family: MIR812 microRNA precursor family
Source: Rfam by way of RNAcentral